UACAGAGGGAGCAAGCGUUGUUCGGAAUUACUGGGCGUAAAGGGCGCGUAGGCGGCCACCGCAAGUCGACUGUGAAAUCUCCGGGCUUAACCCGGAAAGGUCAGCCGAUACUGCGGGGCUAGAGUGCAGAAGGGGCAACUGGAAUUCUCGGUGUAGCGGUGAAAUGCGUAGAUAUCGAGAGGAACACCUGCGGCGGAGGCGGGUUGCUGGGCUGACACUGACGCUGAUGCGCGAAAGCGUGGGGAGCGAACAGG
RNAcentral lists this ribosomal RNA (254 nucleotides) under uncultured bacterium. RNAcentral describes it as "partial 16S ribosomal RNA". It matches the Rfam family "Bacterial small subunit ribosomal RNA", at positions 524 to 776 of the family's 1533-position model. The record is from RNAcentral.